CCUACGGGUGGCAGCAGUGAGGAAUAUUGGUCAAUGGACGAGAGUCUGAACCAGCCAAGUAGCGUGAAGGAUGACUGCCCUAUGGGUUGUAAACUUCUUUUAUAAAGGAAUAAAACGAGGCACGUGUGCCUUUUUGCAUGUACUUUAUGAAUAAGGAUCGGCUAACUCCGUGCCAGCAGCCGCGGUAAUACGGAGGAUCCGAGCGUUAUCCGGAUUUAUUGGGUUUAAAGGGAGCGUAGAUGGGUUGUUAAGUCAGUUGUGAAAGUUUGCGGCGCAACCGUAAAAUUGCAAUUGAUACUGGCAGUCGUGAGUACAGUUGGGGUAGGCGGAAUUCGUGGUGUAGCGGUGAAAUGCUUAGAUAUCACGAAGAACCCCGAUUGCGAAGGCAGCUUACUAAACUGUGACUGACAUUGAUGCUCGAAAGUGUGGGUAUCAAACAGGAUUAGAUACCCGGGUAGUC
RNAcentral lists this ribosomal RNA (460 nucleotides) under uncultured bacterium. RNAcentral's name for it is "partial 16S ribosomal RNA". It matches the Rfam family "Bacterial small subunit ribosomal RNA", at positions 338 to 795 of the family's 1533-position model. The record is from RNAcentral.